AUCGCCUAAUAUUCUCGACCAUCUUAUCCUUAUAUUAAGGGGUCAUAAUGUAAUGUAAGAUGUAUAGAAUA
RNAcentral lists this transfer RNA (71 nucleotides) under Gomphus vulgatissimus (common clubtail). RNAcentral describes it as "partial tRNA-Tyr". Lineage: Eukaryota; Metazoa; Arthropoda; Insecta; Odonata; Gomphidae. The record is from RNAcentral.